RNAcentral lists this long non-coding RNA (1896 nucleotides) under Homo sapiens (human). Its description in RNAcentral is "HSALNT0391251". Lineage: Eukaryota; Metazoa; Chordata; Mammalia; Primates; Hominidae. The record is from RNAcentral.
CUUUUCUGUAAAGGGGCACAGAGAAAAGGCAUUGGUGCUGGAAGGGAUUUGCAUGUUCAAGAAAGAGUUUUAUUUAAAGUGAGAGAAAUUACAGCAUGUUUGACUGUAUGAUAAUAAGAAUGGUCUAGCCUGGCAUGGUGGCUAACACCUGUAAUCCCAGCACUUUGGGAGGCUGAGGCAGGCAGAUCAUGAGGUCAGGAGUUGACCAACAUGGUGAAACCCCGUCUCUACUAAAAAUACAAAAAUUAGCCAGGCAUGGUGGCACACGCCUAUAAUCCCAGAUAGGAGGCUGAGGCAGGAGAAUCACUUGAACCUGGGAGGCAGAGGUUGCAGUGAGCCGAGAUCACACCACUGUACUCCAGCCUGGGCAACAGAGUGAGACCCCGUCUCAACAAAAAAAAACAACAACAAAAACAACAACAACAACAACAACAACAAAAAGAAUGGUCUAGAAGAAAGAAGACUGGAAUGAUGAAGCAGAAGAGAAGGGAGGCUUACAUAACAUCUUGCGGUAAUGAAAGGGGAUGGAAUCUGGUAUAGGAUCCAGAUCCAGGACUUGAGCAUAGCAGAUUUUGGCAUCUGCGGGUUGUCCUGAAACCAGUGCCCCACAGAUAUGGAGAGCUGACUGCAUUCCAAGUGAAGUUCAUGAGGAUUCCUAGAGCAGAAAAGAAGACAGCAAGCUUAGAGGGUUCAAGUGAUUCUCCUGCCUCAGCCUCCUGAACAGCUGCGAUUACCGGCGCGCACCACCAUGCCCAGAGAUAUUAAGGCAGAGAGCAGUUAAAUAACUUGCCAAAAAUUCUCAACAGGGACAAGGUCUUGCUAUGUUGCCCGGCCUGGUCUCAAACUCCUGGGCUUAAGCAACCCUCCCCAGUCCUGCCACCAUAGCCUCCCAAAGCCCUGGGAUUACAGGUGUAAGCUGCAAGAACUUCUUGAAAGGCAAUUCAACAUAGUGUUUAAAAGCAUGCAGGAGUCCUGGGUUCAAAUCUCCAUUCCAGCUCUAUCCAGGCCUCUGAGCCCAAGCUAAGCCAUCAUAUCCCCUGUGACCUGCACAUAUACAUCCAGAUGGCCUGAAGCAACUGAAGAUCCACAAAAGAAGUGAAAAUUGCCAGUUCCUGCCUUAACUGAUGACAUUCCAGCAUUGUGAUUUGUUCCUGCCCCACUCUAACUGAUCAAUUAACUUUGUGACAAUACACCCUCCCCACCCUUGAGAAGGCACUUUGUAAUAUCCUACCCCAACCCACUGCCCUUAAGAAGGUACUUUGUAAUAUUCUCCCCACCCUUGAGAAUGUACUUUGUAAGAUCCACCCGCUGCCCACAAAAAAAUUGCUCCUAACUCCACUGCCUAUCCCAAACCUAUAAGAACUAAUGAUAAUCCCACCACCCUUUGCUGACACUCUUUUUGGACUCCGGCUGCCUGCACCCAGGUGAUUAAAAAGCUUUAUUGCUCACACAAAGCCUGUUUGGUCGUCUCUUCACACGGACACACAUGACAUUUGGUGCCGAAGAGCUGGGACAGGAGGACUCCUUCAGGAGACCAGUUCCCUUGUCCUCGCCCUCACUCCAUGAGGAGAUCCACCUAUGACCUCGGGUCCUCAGACCAACCAGCCCAAGGAACAUCUCACCAAUUUCAAAUCAGCCAAAAUCCACAGUGAUCCACAUAAUACUCAGGAAUCACCCAGAAGGGAUUUCUAUCUGAAAGGAGAAAGAAGCUCUGGGGCAUGAAUAUACGUUGUCUUGUAAAAAAAUAAAUCAGUAAUUCAUGUGUGUAUAUUUUAUACUCAAUGGGAAAAAAUGUUUUAUUUAAAAAAACACUCAAUAUUUUACAUGACAUUGUGAAAAGGCAGCACGGAAUUACUCAUUUGCUUCCUUUUUUAAAGUUUUAGAUGAAAAAUAAAC